Molecule: long non-coding RNA, 2132 nt
Organism: Aethalodelphis obliquidens (Pacific white-sided dolphin)
Lineage: Eukaryota; Metazoa; Chordata; Mammalia; Artiodactyla; Delphinidae
Exons: 3
Source: RefSeq, a predicted model, not a curated record
CUCCUUUUGCAGAAGAGGAAACUGAGGCUCUGAGAAGUUCAAUCAGUUUUUUAAAACUACACAGUUGGUUAGUGGCAGGGUCAAGCCAAGGAGCCAAGAUUCAUUGGUUUAUUCAACACAUAUUAGUCAAGCUCCAUACUAUGUGCAGGGAAAGAGCAUCAUCUAAACUAACAGUUUCUGGUAGUGAAGGAGGGAUGGAUUUGGGUGUUGGCCUAUCCUUCAAUUUUGUUCAAUUAUCAACCUCUUAAGAAAGGGAACCUGAUUCUCAGUUAAGUAUAACAAGCCAAACAUGGAAGUAUCAUUCUUCUUGCCUGGGGCUGACUUAGGGAUGGACAUGUGAUCUAGUUCUAGUCAAGCAGAUGUGAAGGGAAAUUUGCUGUGGGGCUUAGAAAUAUUGCUGGGAACGAUUUUUCUUCGUCAAGGGUUGUCUUCUCUGGAUGUAAUGCCUGGAACUGGGACUAGCCUGUUGACAGGUUAAGGCUAGCUGAGAGGCGAGGUGGGAGGAAGGCUGAGAACUUGAUGACAUCACUGAACUUGACAAACCAAAGUCGGAGGCCCAGCAACAGCACCUGUUGAUAUGUUGGCCCAGAUCAAUUCAGAGGCUCUCCAGGAGAGGAAAUUGGGACACAGGCAUGAGCAGAGGUAAAAGUACAUGAAGACACAGGAAGAAGAUGAACACCUACAAACCGAAGAGAAAGGCCUCAGAAGAAACCAACCCUGAAAACACCUUGAUUUUUGGAUUUCCAUCCUCCAGAAUUGUUAGGAAAUAAAUUUCUGUUGUUUAAGCCAAAAAAAAAAAAAAAAAAAGUGGACAAAAUAAUUCACAUGAAAAAGAAAAUAAGUCUCUGCAGACCACUUUUGCCUUUGGGUUAAAAGCAAUGAGAAAUGGAGAUCAGAUGCUCCAGGUUUACUUUAAAAACACCGAUUUUAAAGUAAACCUGGAGCAGCUGCAGCACGAUAUUGAUGCAUAUAUUCAUUUGUUUAUUCCACACUCCAUCACUAAGGGACCCCCACGAGAUGAGUUCAUGUGCUGUGAAGUGCAGACUUGUUCUCUGGAAGCAGAAUGGAGGAAUCUGAUAAAAGCUAAUGUUUACAGCAAAAUUCAGAAUUUACAGAGAGAAAAGAAAACCAUGAAGGGAAGUGCUGUCUCCUCUUUGGACUAGAGGUGGACGAGGGGUGGUCGGCUAGGGAGGUUUCCGUGGGAGUCCGUGUAGAAAUUCUCUAACUGGGGAGGAUGGGGAACACAUUUUAAACAGUAGCAGAAGACGGCUAGAAGGCCCGGGGCCUGGAGCAGCCUGGCCUGUCUGGGGCACUGCUGGUGGUGUUCUGGGGCUCGGGUAGGGUCGGGAGCUUCAGGAGGGUUGGUGGUAGGAGGUCAGAAAAAUUUGAGAAGCUUGAAUUUAAAACUGCUGAAGAGAGGAAGGCAUGGAGGAGCUAAGGAAGGCAAAUAAUGCCAUCAGAUUUAUUUCUUGGAAAAACAGCCUGUGAUAGUGCAGAGGCUGAGCUGGAAGGGGAAGGGAAAAGAGGGAAUGGAAAUGGAGAGGUGUUUCUGUCUGUGAGAGAAACAUUCUAACAGGCAUGGAAUUCAAAUUUUAAAAAAGAAGAGGUCUCAGAAUUUGGAGAACAGAGACUCUAUAGACCAUCACGUUUGGAUUUACGAGUCAAAAGCUUAUUUCUGAAUCCUUCGGCAUGUUGGAGUUCCUCCUUGUGCUUUCUUAGACUGUGAUGUCUUGCAGAAAUAUAGUCCGAUGGCCAAAAGAAAUUUUUGAAGGAUUGCAUUCAUCCUUGACUUGGGUGGUUAAAAACAAACAAACAAAAACAAAUGUGAAAGGGAUUCAAAUAUACAACUGCAACUACUUUUACAACAAAGUAGAAGUGUUUCCUCUGAAACCCUCCUUCUACACGUGCUGCCUCUCUCCACGAUGUGCUAAACCUUCUCUCCAUCCUCAGCCUCAAGUGGCUCACCUCUCCUGCCCAUCCCACACUCUCCCUCUGCAUCUCCAUCUACAAAGUCUCCCAGUCAGAAAGACCCCAUCUUCACCAGAGGGGAAAAUGGCACUAGUGGCGAGUGACCAUCUUUGGUGGGUGGGAGAAGGGGAGGAGGCUGGGAUUACCCCCAGGUUAAUGAUACU